GACGAACGCUGGCGGCGUGCUUAACACAUGCAAGUCGAACGGAAAGGCCCUGCUUUUGUGGGGUGCUCGAGUGGCGAACGGGUGAGUAACACGUGAGUAACCUGCCCUUGACUUUGGGAUAACUUCAGGAGACUGGGGCUAAUACCGGAUAGGAGCUCCUGCUGCAUGGUGGGGGUUGGAAAGUUUCGGCGGUUGGGGAUGGACUCGCGGCUUAUCAGCUUGUUGGUGGGGUAGUGGCUUACCAAGGCUUUGACGGGUAGCCGGCCUGAGAGGGUGACCGGCCACAUUGGGACUGAGAUACGGCCCAGACUCCUACGGGAGGCAGCAGUGGGGAAUAUUGCUCAAUGGGCGGAAGCCUGAUGCAGCAACGCCGCGUGCGGGAUGACGGCCUUCGGGUUGUAAACCGCUUUCGCCUGUGACGAAGCGUGAGUGACGGUAAUGGGUAAAGAAGCACCGGCUAACUACGUG
Molecule: ribosomal RNA, 468 nt
Filed under: uncultured bacterium
Lineage: Bacteria
Description: partial 16S ribosomal RNA
Rfam family: Bacterial small subunit ribosomal RNA
Source: RNAcentral